UCCACAGAGAUGUUAUGAAAAAUAAAUGAAAAAAACAGAUGAAGAAUUUGAUCAUAGAAGAACUAUAUAAGCUCAUGAUAAGGAACUGGUAUAAGGAUCUCAGACUGACAGUCUCAUAAAAGUGUUCAUCCUGGAAAGAGACACAGAGAAACAGAGACAAUCUAAUAUUGCUUACAUUAGGUAUGGGAUUGAAGUUAGAAGAUUUAUUUUCUAUGACUAGAAGCUGCUUUGGUCAGGCUCCAAACCAUACAGAGCCAAACAUUCCAAAACAAUUGUUUUCCAUUCUUGCCUGCCAUCCGCAAAGCAUUUGGAUGGAUAAAGAAUAAAUGUAUUUAGUUUUCCUUAGCCAAUUCAGAAACCACACAUUUUCUCCUCAGCCAAAAUCUGGAAGAUAUGUUCAAAGGAAUGAAAUUAGAAGCCCUUAAACUUGAUCUAUGUAAAAGCAAUGAAUUGAUGAGAAAGAGGCGUGACUCAUAAUUUAUGUGUUUCUUUGCUUGAUAAGAAACAUGCCCUUAAAUUACAGAAAGAAAAGGGGUGGCAUAUUUUUUAGCACUCUAGACUCCAGUGCAUGCUGAGUGGCAUAUGAAAUCACUCAGCCUGGGAGCAUUUCAGUUAACACUGAGGCAGAAGAAACCUUCUUUUUGAAGCAUUGGCUCAGAGACGUUUGAGACCAUGCAAAUUGUUAUCAUCAAGGGGAUUCAAGGUGAUGAAGCAAAUAACAUUCAUGGGGAAAAAAUCUACUUUGCUUUUGACUGGCCUACAGCAGACCUUUUCUGUCUCCAAAGUUUAUUCUUUGUUAGUUAGUUUACUUACUGUAUAAUGAAAAGAUCACGAUUUGGAUUAGGAUCACAGUAUUUGAAGAUUUAGCUUUUUCGUCUUAUUUUCUUCAUUUCAGAAAUCCAUCCCCAUGUACAAAAGAUUGUUUUAAGACAAAAAAAAUCCCAUGCGUUUACAUUACUGGAAAGCACAUGCAGAAUAAGUUAAAUGCUGGUGCAUGGUAAUGGAGAAUGAAAUAAUGCAAAAUUAAUUGGUGAGGAAAAUUUUUGUCACCUUCAUUGUACAAAAUACGAAAGGUUGACUUGCACAGGUCCAAUUAUAAUUGCAAUUAAAUGAAUCACCACUGGGGCAGUGUUAUCAUUUUAUGAAUUAUGAUUGGAUGCACCCAGGAAAUAACACAAUUCCACCAUGCCGGAGAACAAGACAUGAUAAAUUAGACUGGCAAUAUCUUCAUUGGUCAAUGAAAUAUUGUAGAAAUGAACAGAGUCAGAGAUAGUUAAAAUUGUCUAUUGUCUCAAUUUUAAGGUAAAACAGUAGCAUGAUUAGUCUAUACAAAACUCAUAAUGACUAACUAAUAUAGUUUAAAUAUUAUUUUAUAUUUAAUAAUUUAAGAGUAUUUAAGAGUUAAGCCAUAAUGAUGUAGAAAAUUGGACAUUGGACUGAAAUAGAAAAAAAUAGCUAUCAACUCUAUCCUCAGGCAUAGAAGUCCACCAGGAUAGUUCUGAGGCACUCAUCUUCUCUUAACCCAAACUACAUCUAUGGCUGUGGGCAGAAGAAAAUAUUGGCAGCAUCCAAGUUGCUGAGCACCUACAGAAAAGAUACAAUAAUUGAGGGGAAGAAGGCGGGGCUUAGCAGUGAGAAGACGGAGUUUCAGGCUAUUCCUGAAAUUCCUCUAUUCCGGAGGAAUUUUGGACGGGUCAUCGGACCCUAGCUGUCCCGGAGAAGACAGUGAAAGGUGAGGGGAGAUCCAGUGACCUCAGAGACGUUCGCAAAGUCUCUGGGGGGGCUUGGAAUUAACCCCUCCUGCCAACUCCUUUCUGGAUUAGCUGUAUGCUAACUGAAACUGCAGGUUGCCCCUAAGAAUGGUCUAAGUGGAUUCAACUGGUAAGCUGAUUUUAUUACUCAAAGAGAGACGGUCCGCACUAAAAUUUAAGCUAAUUGAAACCAAAGAACAGAAGAAUCUAGCGGCGAAUUGGUUUUUUUUUAAUGGAUUUAUGGCCGGUGGUUACCCUAUUUCUUAAACGCUUUAAGGAAUUCUUCAACAUUCCCCCCUGACUCUUUCUAAGUGGGUUGUAAAAACUAACCUACUACUAAUUGGCCCUUCAUGAUCUGACACUUUUAUUGCUUGGCUGUGUUGGUCUAAGAUCAGAUAAGAUCGCACAGCUCCCAGUGUGUUUUUACUUGCAAAUACCUUAGAAUCUCUAACUGCAACACAACAUGGUGUCGAAUUAUACUCCCAAGGGCUCGCUUCAGAUUCUUUUUUCCGCAUUUCGGAAGCUGUUUGAUUCAUAUCAAAGAUUUGAAAAAAAAUUGGAUUAUUUGACAUUAAAAUAUGAAGGAAAAGGUGAGAACGUUGAAUGUUUGAAUGUUCCUGAAAUACAAAUGAAAAAUGUGAGAAAUGACGUCUGGUCUAUCUCGGAGGAAGAAAGGAAUGCUAUGCUGGAAAGAGGGGGAGCUAUAAAGAAGACUCAUUUUAAGAGACAGAGCGCAGGAGAAAUGAAAAUUCCACCCUUGAGAAUUAAAGUCAAUUUGAAAAGUUUAACAAGCCUGGGACAACAUUAUUAUCUCAUCAGAGACAUCCUGAGCAAAAAGGUGCGAAGAUAUCCCUGUUUGGACUUGCUUAUAAAAACAUUUGGUAAAUCUAUUCAACGAAUGGCAAUAGGACUGAGAAAGUUUUGUUAUUGGAGAGACAUAGGCUGACAGAUGGAAGAAUACAACUUAAAAUUAGCUAAAUCUAAUUACUCUUAUUUGUAAUAGAUAUAGCUGAAUAAUAAUUGAUAUUGAUAGUAAUGUAUAUAAUGUGGAGUUGAUAUGAUAAAUAAUAAUUGGAUAUGAGAAAGGAAGGUUGGAAAUACUUUUGGGCUAUAUAUAAAGGUUAUUAAUCACAAUAAUUAUCACUACUAAAAAUAAAAUAAAAUAAUAAAAAUACAAUGUAGUAUUCUCCACAAAACCUUCACAUUCAACUCAGUUCAAGAAGUCUGAAAUAACUUUAUUAAUCCUAAAAGUGAUGGAAGGGUAGCAGGAAUACAAAUUUAUUUCUAUUCAUAUUUCCUUCCUAUUUGUGGUAGGAUAUAAAAUAUAUGCUUUGGUUGGUUGCCUAGUUAGCCAGUUUUAUAUUUUUGUCCACCUAUCAAGUUCUUCCUAAGGACCUGAGGGAGCAAAUGUUGUUUUGCAAUUGAAAGAUGGUGAUUUUGUCAAUACUGAUGGCAUUGGCGGUGCUCCAGAUAUUUUGGGAUUGCACCAAGGCACCUGUUAAUAGUAUCUAUCUUUGUACUGGUACUAGUUUUGCUUUUGUUUGCUUCAGUCAAAACACUAUUUGCAGGUCUUUGUAUUUGGUGAUUUUUCUCUAGUUCUUUCUCUUCAAUUCUUUUGUCUUCAAAGUUUUUUGUCUUUUUUAUCAACACUUGUUAAAUCUGAAAUGUUACAUGGCAGGUUCUUAUCUGUUUGACUUCUAAAGCCCGGAAGCAUUUGAGGACUUUUGGCACCCAUGCUCAUUUUCUGUUUUUGUCUAUUUUGUGAUCCCGCCAUGGUAUCUCCUGCAGAUAUUCCGAAGCACCAUUGCUGUUAUGCCAUUGUCUGUAGUCAGUCUGUCUGAUCUUCUUGCAGCAAUUAUUAUUUUGCAUGACUUGUCUGAUUAUAUAGAAAUAUAGCAGGCUGAAGUAAGGCAAAACAAAUAGAAAUUCAACCACUAUAGAUAUUAUCCAUCUUCCUAAAACCUUUUUAUGAUACAGUCAAUCACAGGCAGUUUAGACAAGAAUGUCAUAGAACACCAAAAGAGAUGUGAGAUGCAGUUUUAUUCAGUAGUGCAUUUCUCUGCAACAAACUAGGGAAAUGUAUUAUUCUUUUAUUCUGUUGUGAAAAUUUACAUAGAGCACAGGACACCUGAAACUAGUAAAAAUGGCUGUUCAUAAGAUUUGUCUAAAUUAAAGGGACAGCUGAAUAGUAAUAAAAAAACCCAAGCAAGAAACUAUAUUGUUGUAUAAAGUCCAGCAUAAGCUGUUAGUAAUGUAUAAGAAAAUGUAAGCGAAAAGGAAUGUGUUUCUUAAUACAAAUAUUAACUCUCAUUCCAUGCUAAAUAUCUAUGAUGCAUAGUAUGUUCACCCAAACGCCCGUCAAAAAAGCUAAACAUAAAUGAUACAGUGGGCGAGAAGCCUGUACUGAAUAAGCUGCAGAAAGCUGUCCCAUACUAGGGAAGGUGAAUCCAAAGUGGUAAAUAUAGUAAUUGUUUUUUAGUCUCUCACUUUUAUGCACAAGCUUCUCAGAUCAGCAUUUAAUCAAUAUGGCCUAUGGUUAUGAUUGUGCAAUAAAAUAAUCAAUUGUUACAUUGUCUGAUUUUGGUCUCCAGCAGGAGGCAGAAAUCUAUGGCUUUGUCAUGAUAAAUUAUUGCUAUUA
This is a non-coding RNA of Thamnophis sirtalis, 4389 nucleotides long. The record is from RefSeq and is a predicted model, not a curated record. NCBI's taxonomy places the organism in Eukaryota, Metazoa, Chordata, Lepidosauria, Squamata, Natricidae.